GGCCAAAUGGCCAUUGGUGCCCAACUGGCCCAUGGCAGGGGACGGGUGAAAAUCACCCACCGAUGCCAUCUGACGCCGUUUCAGCCAGGGACUUUUUCUUCCUCCUCACCCGCUCUUGGUCAAUAAUUCUCAUCUGGGAGUGCCAGCGGACCACGAGAAACCGCUCGGUGAAAUCAUCUGUCUUCUAAAUGAAAUUCUCACAGCGAGCCUUCAAUCUCAAACGGGCCCAUUGAUUUCCCCUUGGACUUUGGAUCCGGCACACGCCUCAGGGUUCUGGAGAAUCAGCAGAGCUUGGGUUUGUCUCUAGGGAAAUGCUGAACUUGGAUAAACAAAGGAAGCUCCGACAUCAGAAACAACCCCUUGCGGGUGUCACGUACUUGGGAUGAAGACCCACCUUCUCACAGAGAUGAGAUUUGGCACUCUGCUUACAGAAACCCCACGCCUUCGCGGACUAAGUAAAUAGGAGACCAAGUGU
Long non-coding RNA from Ornithorhynchus anatinus (platypus), 475 nucleotides. RefSeq lists it as uncharacterized. The record is from RefSeq and is a predicted model, not a curated record. Lineage: Eukaryota; Metazoa; Chordata; Mammalia; Monotremata; Ornithorhynchidae. The transcript is spliced from 2 exons.